This is a long non-coding RNA of Haliotis rubra (blacklip abalone), 550 nucleotides long. RefSeq lists it as uncharacterized. The transcript is spliced from 4 exons. NCBI's taxonomy places the organism in Eukaryota, Metazoa, Mollusca, Gastropoda, Lepetellida, Haliotidae. The record is from RefSeq and is a predicted model, not a curated record.
UUGACUUUGCCUUUAAUGUAUAAUUCCAGGUUAGAGGGGAACCUAGAGCAAUUGUAGUUGUAACCGCUAGAUCCGGCUGCUCAUGGAACUGGUUGACAUAUCGGUAUGUUAAGAUUGGAGCGGAUUUCUCUGUAACUACACUGUACGAUGGUGAGAGUUUGGCGGAUGAUCUUGGUGUAACCAAUACAUUACAAGGAAAUGGACCCAGCAGCUUUUCGGAUUCUAACCUGUACUUCAUUGAAGUCACAUUUGCACCCGGUAAAACAACCCCGACCGCUUUGAACAGCCUGACUCAACAGAUCUUACGUCUGAGAGCAGACUUACUCAACCAGGAUAAAAAAUUAGCUUUCUACAAAGUCCUGGGACAAGUUCCAGCACGGAUCCUGAUUUUUGCGAACCUCUUGCCGUCCCAGGCAGAUUCUCUCUACACUACUUUCAGCUGUACCGAUGGUUGCAGCAUGAAACUGACUGCGAUUCAGAGCCUUAAAGACUAUGUUGAAUACUGCUGAUGAACGCCUUCCGAUGUAACAAAUCGUAUUUCUCAAUUAAC